This is a non-coding RNA of Camelina sativa (false flax), 459 nucleotides long. The record is from RefSeq and is a predicted model, not a curated record. NCBI's taxonomy places the organism in Eukaryota, Viridiplantae, Streptophyta, Magnoliopsida, Brassicales, Brassicaceae.
AACACAGAAACCAUUCACAUAAGAACUAAUAAAAUAAAAAAAAAUUGAUGACUGGAGUCAAAAUUUAAACUAAGAUCUAAAGCUCGGUCUAAUAAGUUGUUGCCGAUGAGAUAGCUAAGAUGGCCCGUAAACUCUGCCUCUUUCUCUGAGGGCUAAACUGGUUUCCAUCUAUCUAUAUGAUCUCUGUUUUUUUAAAGAUAAGAUCGGCCGCUCAUCCAUUCUACCUCCUGAUAUGGUUUGGAUCUUGAUUACGAAUCAUGACUUUCGAUAGUCCGCAAUCCGCAACUUUGGCUACUGAGUUCUCGCCUAGUAAUAUUGCCACUGUGGAGAUAAUGUAACCUCUGGCUGAUCCAAUGCAUAUCUGUAGUAUUUGUUUCCAUGACAAAGCAUGCAGAUUCGAGCUAGGAUUAACAUGUAAAUUUACUUAUCAUACAUCAUAAAAGGUAAUUCAUUCACUAA